Molecule: small RNA, 1516 nt
Filed under: Pongo abelii (Sumatran orangutan)
Lineage: Eukaryota; Metazoa; Chordata; Mammalia; Primates; Hominidae
Description: processed transcript
Source: RNAcentral
AGCCAAUUUUUUUCAGCAUUGUUUCUGGACCUUUCUGAGGGUGGGAUCUGGGCAUCUUCAAUGGCUUAACAAGUAUCACAGAUGAGGAAACAGACUUGGAGAGGUUAAGUGACAUGCUCAAGACAACACUGCUGGACCGCAGCUGAAUGCACAGCUAGAAGGUUGGCUUUCACAAGUACAGUCUACAAAAAGACCUGCUAGAGCCAUUAUUGCCCCCCAUGCAGGAUAUACGUACUGUGGGUCUUGUGCCGCCCAUGCUUAUAAACAAGUGGAUCCGUCUAUUACCCGGAGAAUUUUCAUCCUUGGGCCUUCUCAUCAUGUGCCCCUCUCUCGAUGUGCACUUUCCAGUGUGGAUAUAUAUAGGACACCUCUGUAUGACCUUCGUAUUGACCAAAAGAUUUACGGAGAACUAUGGAAGACAGGAAUGUUUGAACGCAUGUCUCUGCAGACAGAUGAAGAUGAACACAGUAUUGAAAUGCAUUUGCCUUAUACAGCUAAAGCCAUGGAAAGCCAUAAGGAUGAGUUUACCAUUAUUCCUGUACUGGUUGGAGCUCUGAGUGAGUCAAAAGAACAGGAAUUCGGAAAACUCUUCAGUAAAUAUCUAGCGGAUCCUAGUAAUCUCUUUGUGGUUUCUUCUGAUUUCUGCCAUUGGGGUCAAAGGUUCCGUUACAGUUACUAUGAUGAAUCCCAGGGGGAGAUUUAUAGAUCCAUUGAACAUCUAGAUAAAAUGGGUAUGAGUAUUAUAGAACAAUUAGACCCUGUAUCUUUUAGCAAUUACUUGAAGAAAUACCAUAAUACUAUAUGUGGAAGACAUCCCAUUGGGGUGUUAUUAAAUGCUAUCACAGAGCUCCAGAAGAAUGGAAUGAAUAUGAGUUUUUCGUUUUUGAAUUAUGCCCAGUCAAGCCAGUGUAGAAACUGGCAAGACAGUUCAGUGAGUUAUGCAGCUGGAGCACUCACGGUCCACUGAAGCUCUGAAUCCUCAGGGAUGCCACCUGCACAUUCUCAUACUCUGUCCGGGGUCCCAGCCUAGCCUUUACCAAGAUACUGGUCCUGGUUUGGGGGGAUUCUGAAACCUCAAACUAAUAGAACUUUCUUCUCUUUUUUUUCUAGUAGGUGUAGUCCUUCCUUAAUUUCAACUCAUUAAAAAAUGCUUUAUAGUUUAGGGCAGUGGAAGGAAGGCUGGCAUCAAAAUAUUUUGAUCAAAAAAGAUGACAAUGUAAAGGCUCAGUUGUGGCAGACAGUUUUUUGAAAGUAACUUGUAAAGCAUUUACCAUAUCCUAAAUUUGCACUCUUUGCAGACUUGUGCACAUAUAUUCCGCUUUCAGAAUAGUUUUGCAAAUUGUACACAAACAAAAAGGUGGAAGCUUUUUAAUAAAGAAAUUGCAUUUAUAAAUGAUCUGUAUUAGAAUAUAAUAAAUCUCCAGUUAUAGUCAAUUACUACCCAUGUUGUACAACAGAUACCUUCUAUUUUAGUUGCUAAUAAAGGGCUACACAACUCAAAAUAGUCUGAUUUAAA